AAUAUUGGUCAAUGGGCGGGAGCCUGAACCAGCCAUGCCGCGUGCGGGACGAAGGCCCUAUGGGUCGUAAACCGCUUUUAUACGGGAACAACCGCAGUUACGUGUAACUGUCUGAGUGUACCGUAGGCAUAAGGAUCGGCUAACUCCGUGCCAGCAGCCGCGGUAAUACGUAGGGGGCGAGCGUUAUCCGGAAUUAUUGGGCGUAAAGGGUGCGUAGGCGGCCUUUUAAGUCAGAUGUGAAAGGCUACGGCUUAACCGUAGUUAGCAUUUGAAACUAAAAGGCUUGAGUGCAGGAGAGGAGAGUGGAAUUCCUAGUGUAGCGGUGAAAUGCGUAGAUAUUAGGAGGAACACCAGUGGCGAAGGCGACUCUCUGGACUGCAACUGACGCUGAGGCACGAAAGCGUGGGGAGCGAACA
This 416-nucleotide ribosomal RNA is filed under the name uncultured bacterium. RNAcentral's name for it is "partial 16S ribosomal RNA". It matches the Rfam family "Bacterial small subunit ribosomal RNA", at positions 360 to 774 of the family's 1533-position model. The record is from RNAcentral.